Molecule: non-coding RNA, 576 nt
Organism: Arachis ipaensis
Lineage: Eukaryota; Viridiplantae; Streptophyta; Magnoliopsida; Fabales; Fabaceae
Source: RefSeq, a predicted model, not a curated record
UCUGGUAACAUGGACAGGACGAUAAUCAGCAUACAUAAAAUGGACAGAUUGUACAUCACCUUAUAUAAAGUACUUGGAGGAAAAUAAAUAAAUAAAUCAUGAAGGUAGGCUUCAAAAUCACGUUAAGGUUGCUGUCUUAUAACCAGAAGAUUGCAAGUUUGAAUCUUCAUAAACACCCCCUCUCCACUAUGAAAAAGUAGAGCAAUAUACAUUUAUCAUCCUGGGACCUCGCCAGAUGAAUCUUCUUUAUGUUGCCAUCUGCGAACCUCAUCAUAUAUCAUUCCUAACACAGAGGUUGAAGUGAAUGAUUUCUCCUUUUCCAUAUAAUGUGGGAACAAUUCUGCAGACAACUCUUUUGGGACUUCAAUCUGUUGAUAAAGUACAUGUGUCAGUUCAGACUGGAAAACUCAGAUGGUAUUCAUUCUGGAAAGCAUUAUUUGUAAAUAUUUACACGAAUAAAACCAAAUACAAAGUCAUGUCAUCUAUUUGACCACACGGCACCAGAAACAUGAUUUUUCAAUCCCGAAACAAACAUUUAAAUAGUAGAAAACUGAAAACCCCAGAUGAUAGAAUAGA